UCCCUCGUUUCUCCCUCCCCGCCUCCUCCGCAGAAGCCGAGCGCCAAACUCAAACUCUAUCAGGACCUGGACGUCUCUUAGGCUAGUUCCGAGGGACGGGCCUGUUGGGCUUUUCCGCACACCAGCCGGGGCAGCGAGCAAACAUGAGCCAAGUUCUGUUCCACCAACUAGUCCCGUUGCAGGUGAAAUGCAAAGACUGCGAGGAGAGGAGAGUAAGUAUAAGAAUGAGCAUUGAACUACAAUCAGUUUCUAAUCCAGUUCACAGAAAGGACUUAGUUAUUCGUCUGACUGAUGACACGGAUCCUUUUUUUUUAUAUAACCUUGUUAUAUCUGAGGAAGAUUUUCAAAGUUUAAAAUUCCAGCAGGGUCUUCUGGUAGACUUCUUAGCUUUCCCACAAAAAUUUAUAGAUCUCCUUCAACAAUGUACUCAAGAACAUGCCAAAGAAAUUCCAAGGUUUUUGCUACAGUUAGUUUCUCCAGCAGCUAUUUUGGAUAACUCACCUGCAUUUUUAAAUGUGGUAGAGACAAAUCCUUUUAAGCAUCUUACACACCUCUCACUAAAACUUUUACCUGGAAAUGAUGUGGAGAUAAAGAAAUUUCUCGCAGGCUGUUUGAAAUGUAGUAAGGAAGAAAAAUUAUCAUUGAUGCAAUCACUAGAUGAUGCUACUAGGCAACUGGACUUUACACAAAAGACAUUAGCAGAAAAAAAACAAGAAUUAGAUAAGUUACGGAACGAAUGGGCGUCACAUACAGCAGCCUUGACAAACAAGCAUUCUCAGGAACUGACAAAUGAAAAGGAAAAAGCUUUGCAGGCACAGGUUCAAUAUCAACAGCAGCAUGAACAGCAGAAAAAAGAUUUAGAAAUCCUCCAUCAACAAAACAUCCACCAGCUACAAAACAGACUGUCUGAGUUAGAAGCAGCUAAUAAAGACUUAACCGAAAGAAAAUAUAAAGGAGACUCCACUAUUAGAGAACUUAAAGCAAAACUUUCUGGUGUUGAAGAGGAGCUACAGCGGACUAAGCAAGAAGUCCUUUCUUUGCGAAGAGAGAAUUCUACACUAGAUGUUGAAUGCCAUGAGAAAGAAAAGCACAUUAAUCAGCUACAAACAAAAGUGGCAGUUUUAGAACAGGAAAUCAAGGAUAAGGACCAGCUUGUUUUAAGAACAAAAGAGGCAUUUGAUACAAUCCAGGAACAAAAGGUCUACUUUUAAAUUUUUCUCAGAAAUUGAUAGUCAUAUUUAUAAGUAAACACAAAUGCCCUAAUUAUUCAUGUUUUUAAAAAAUAUAUCAGGUGGUUUUAGAAGAAAAUGGUGAGAAAAAUCAAGUACAACUAGGAAAGCUUGAAGCUACAAUAAAAUCAUUAUCUGCAGAACUUCUGAAGGUUUGUUUUAAAAAUUUUAUAGACUAAUAUUUCAUUAGAUUACAUAGAAAUAUACAUAUGAAGCUCUUUUAUAGGCAAAUGAAAUUAUCAAGAAGUUACAAGGGGAUCUGAAAACUUUAAUGGGUAAGUUGAAAUUGAAGAAUACAGUUACUAUUCAGCAAGAAAAACUCUUGGCUGAGAAGGAGGAAAAAUUACAAAAGGAACAAAAGGAAUUACAAGAUGUUGGACAGUCUCUUCGAAUUAAAGAGCAAGAGGUAUGCAAAUUACAAGAACAAUUAGAAGCUACAGUUAAAAAACUUGAAGAAAGCAAACAACUUCUAAAAAAUAAUGAAAAGUUAAUCACGUGGUUAAAUAAAGAACUAAAUGAAAAUCAGCUAGUGAGAAAGCAAGAUGUAUUGGGACCUUCUACUACUCCGCCUGCACAUUCCAGCAGCAACACAAUCAGAAGUGGAAUUUCUCCUAACCUGAAUGUGGUUGAUGGUAGACUGACUUACCCAGCCUGUGGGAUUGGUUAUCCUGUCUCCUCUGCAUUUGCAUUCCAGAAUACCUUCCCUCAUUCGAUAUCUGCCAAAAAUACCAGCCACCCUGGUUCAGCAACAAAGGUUCAGUUUAAUUUGCAGUUUACAAAACCAAAUGCAUCACUAGGAGAUGUUCAGUCAGGAGCAACUAUUAGUAUGCCUUGCUCAACUGAUAAGGAAAAUGGUGAAAAUUUAGGGUUGGAAUCCAAAUACCUGAAGAAAAGGGAAGAUAGCAUUCCUUUACGCGGACUCAGCCAGAACCUAUUUAGUAAUUCAGACCAUCAGAGAGAUGGCACUUUAGGAGCAUUACAUACAUCUUCCAAACCCACAGUGCUCCCUUCUGCAUCUUCGGCCUAUUUCCCUGGGCAGUUACCAAACAAUUAAUUCUAGUGUCAUGUUUUACUUUUUAUUGGUAUUUUAGAAACUCAGGUGCUUAAAAAAUGUGUCAACACAAACCAGAUCCUAAAAUAGCAAGUUUCAAAUUUUACUUGAGCUGUUAGACUGGAUACUUUAAGUACUGCUAUCUUUUAUGGCAGUUUAUAGGAACAAAUUUGUACUUGGGGAUUGGUAAAGAUUGUGAGUAAAUGACAUUUUUCGGUUUGUGAACAUGGUGUUUUAUAGAAUAAUAUGAAUUUUAUUAAGCUAUUCUUUAGAAAUUCAGUUCUAAGGAAAGAGUUGAUCCUUAUAAGGGAGAUUCUGAUCAUAUUAAAAAUCUGGGUAAACUAAAACCUGCUCAUAAGCUCAUAGUAUGCAACCAAAGAAUGCUAAUUCAUUUUAUCACUUUCAUUGGUAAAACUUUUAAAUUCAACACCUGAAAAUUAUGAGGGAAAAUGAUUACCUCUUGAGAUAUAUUAUUGAUGACAUUUAAAGGGAAAAGUCCUAAAAUUACCUUAAAUAAUUGAAAUGAAUUAAGCCUUCAUAGCAUAUUUUCCUUGAAGCAUUUAAAUUUGCUAUUGAUGAAUCAAAUAAAUUUGAUAUACUUAAAAUAAUUUGGACAGUGUAUUUAUGUGACCAGAUUAAGUGCUUUAGUCAUUUGAGCUGACAAGUUUUUAAAACUUCAGUGCUUCCUAAAUGUUUAUACUUAUCUAGUUUUUCUCAAUUUGUAGUUUUAUUAUGCAGUUGAAUCUGUAUCAGUGGACUUUUAAAACUUGGUACUACUACUAAGUCUACUAUAUCAUGAAUAUUCAUUUAUUUUUAUAGUAUCAGAACUUGGGUUGAUUUCAAUGUUAAUAAACUAGGCAAAACAAAUAACUGUUAGAAGGUACAAUUUUCUUCCCUUCCCUGUAACUAAAAGUUUUAAGAAUUGUUCCUUAGGGAAAAAUUUUUUAAAAAUUCACCUAGAAUCAUAGGGCCUCAUUUUGUUUUCUUAUUGACAAAAUACCUGGUAGCAUUCUCUAAAGAGUCUUCUAGAUCAAUUUUUGUAAAGUACUAAUGCUCAUGUGAUAAUUUAAAAUUAUUUUCAACUACUUGAUUACACAGAUGAAGAAACAUUUCAAGAUAUUAAUGAUGUAAUAAUGUUACUGAGUUCCAUGGUAAGAAAGAAUCUUUGCUAUUUUUUUUUUUUUUUACGAAGCCAGUAUCUUGAAGCUAUUGGCAGUUGCAAGUGUCUUUAAACUAGGGAUCUAAUCUGAAAAUUCAGUAACUAAUAUUAGGCAGUGAUACUGCCCCUACCUCCCCCAUUUAGAUAGACUGCUGUAUUAGUGAGAAUACUUGGUACAGUAACUUGAAAGCACUUGCUAUUCUGGAAAGAAGCAUCUUGGUGAUUUUGGAAGGGGCUUUGUUGUAAAUACUAUGUAAUAUAUAUAAAAUAUUGUGACAGGUUUUGGAUGGGAUGCAUGACAUACAGGUAGCUCUCUUUUUUUAAAUAUAGGUAUCUCUUUGCAUAUAUAUAUACACAAGGAAAGUUGAAUUUUCAGGAGAGAUCAUUCUGAUAGCUUGCAAAUUUGUUUGUAUUAAAUGUAUAUAGACUUCCAAGUGUGCUAAUUCUUUACCUCCUAAACUUUUAGUUGCAAUUGUUUUGCAGUGUAAAAUUGUACAUGUGUUAAUAAUCAAAGUGUUGCAUUUAAUGUUAUUUCUGUAAACUUUGAGCUUUGUUAAUAAACUAUUAUGCAGCAUCUACACUUUG
This 4024-nucleotide small RNA is filed under the name Pongo abelii (Sumatran orangutan). RNAcentral's name for it is "processed transcript". Lineage: Eukaryota; Metazoa; Chordata; Mammalia; Primates; Hominidae. The record is from RNAcentral.